GUCAAGCUGACGAGUCCCAAAUAGGACGAAGCGCGCGUCCUGUAU
This 45-nucleotide non-coding RNA is filed under the name Schistosoma mattheei. Lineage: Eukaryota; Metazoa; Platyhelminthes; Trematoda; Strigeidida; Schistosomatidae. The record is from RNAcentral.